This 423-nucleotide ribosomal RNA is filed under the name uncultured Bacillus sp. RNAcentral's name for it is "bacterial SSU rRNA". It matches the Rfam family "Bacterial small subunit ribosomal RNA", at positions 346 to 761 of the family's 1533-position model. The record is from RNAcentral. Lineage: Bacteria; Bacillati; Bacillota; Bacilli; Caryophanales; Bacillaceae.
AGGCAGCAGUAGGGAAUUUUCCGCAUUGUAGGAAAGUCUGACGGAGCAACGCCGCGUGAGAGAAGAAGGCCUUCGGGUCGUAAAGCUUUGUUGUCAGGGAAGAACAAGUACCGGAGUAACUGCCGGUACCUUGACGGUACCUGACCAGAAAGCCACGGCUAACUACGUGCCAGCAGCCGCGGUAAUACGUAGGUGGCAAGCGUUGUCCGGAAUUAUUGGGCGUAAAGCGCGCGCAGGCGGUCCUUUAAGUCUGAUGUGAAAGCCCACGGCUCAACCGUGGAGGGUCAUUGGAAACUGGGGGACUUGAGUGCAGAAGAGGAGAGCGGAAUUCCACGUGUAGCGGUGAAAUGCGUAGAGAUGUGGAGGAACACCAGUGGCGAAGGCGGCUCUCUGGUCUGUAACUGACGCUGAGGCGCGAAAGCG